This 484-nucleotide ribosomal RNA is filed under the name uncultured bacterium. Its description in RNAcentral is "partial 16S ribosomal RNA". It matches the Rfam family "Bacterial small subunit ribosomal RNA", at positions 30 to 507 of the family's 1533-position model. The record is from RNAcentral.
AUUGAACGCUGGCGGCAUGCCUAACACAUGCAAGUCGAGCGGAUGAAGGGAGCUUGCUCCUGGAUUCAGCGGCGGACGGGUGAGUAAUGCCUAGGAAUCUGCCUGGUAGUGGGGGAUAACGUCCGGAAACGGGCGCUAAUACCGCAUACGUCCUGAGGUAGAAAGUGGGGGAUCUUCGGACCUCACGCUAUCAGAUGAGCCUAGGUCGGAUUAGCUAGUUGGUGGGGUAAAGGCCUACCAAGGCGACGAUCCGUAACUGGUCUGAGAGGAUGAUCAGUCACACUGGAACUGAGACACGGUCCAGACUCCUACGGGAGGCAGCAGUAGGGAAUAUUGGACAAAGGGCGAAAGCCUGAUCCAGCAAUGCCGCGUGUGUGAAGAAGGUCUUCGGAUUGUAAAGCACUUUAAGUUGGGAGGAAGGGAAGUAAGUUAAUCCCUUGCUGUUUUGACGUUACCAACAGAAUAAGCACCGGCUAACUUCGUG